Molecule: ribosomal RNA, 916 nt
Filed under: uncultured bacterium
Lineage: Bacteria
Description: bacterial SSU rRNA
Rfam family: Bacterial small subunit ribosomal RNA
Source: RNAcentral
UUGUUGGUAAGGUAAAAGCUUACCAAGGCUUCGAUCAGUAGCUGGUCUGAGAGGACGACCAGCCACACUGGGACUGAGACACGGCCCAGACUCCUACGGGAGGCAGCAGUGGGGAAUUUUGGACAAUGGGGGCAACCCUGAUCCAGCCAUGCCGCGUGAGUGAAGAAGGCCUUCGGGUUGUAAAGCUCUUUCAGCCGGAACGAAACGGUUACGGUUAACACCCGUGACUACUGACGGUACCGGAAGAAGAAGCACCGGCUAACUACGUGCCAGCAGCCGCGGUAAUACGUAGGGUGCGAGCGUUAAUCGGAAUUACUGGGCGUAAAGCGUGCGCAGGUGGUUUUGUAAGUCAGAUGUGAAAGCCCCGGGCUCAACCUGGGAACUGCGUUUGAAACUACAAGACUAGAGUGUGGCAGAGGGGGGUGGAAUUCCGCGUGUAGCAGUGAAAUGCGUAGAGAUGUGGAYGAACACCGAUGGCGAAGGCAGCCCCCUGGGUCAACACUGACGCUCAGGCACGAAAGCAUGGGGAGCAAACAGGAUUAGAUACCCUGGUAGUCCAUGCCCUAAACGAUGUCAACUAGUUGUCGGGCCUUUACGGGCUUGGUAACGUAGCUAACGCGUGAAGUUGACCGCCUGGGGAGUACGAUCGCAAGAUUAAAACUCAAAUGAAUUGACGGGGACCCGCACAAGCGGUGGAUUAUGUGGAUUAAUUCGAUGCAACGCGAAAAACCUUACCUACCCUUGACAUGUAUCGAAGCCCGCAGAAAAGCGGGGGUGCCCGAAAGGGAACGAUAACACAGGUGCUGCAUGGCUGUCGUCAGCUCGUGUCGUGAGAUGUUGGGUUAAGUCCCGCAACGAGCGCAACCCUUGUCAUUAAUUGCCAUCAUUUAGUUGGGCACUUUAAUGAGACUGCCGG